AGUGAACGCUGGCGGUAGGCCUAACACAUGCAAGUCGAACGGCAGCACAGUAAGAGCUUGUUCUUACGGGUGGCGAGUGGCGGACGGGUGAGGAAUACAUCGGAAUCUACUUUUUCGUGGGGGAUAACGUAGGGAAACUUACGCUAAUACCGCAUACGACCUACGGGUGAAAGCAGGGGAUCUUCGGACCUUGCGUGAUUGAAUGAGCCGAUGUCGGAUUAGCUAGUUGGCGGGGUAAAGGCCCACCAAGGCGACGAUCCGUAGCUGGUCUGAGAGGAUGAUCAGCCACACUGGAACUGAGACACGGUCCAGACUCCUACGGGAGGCAGCAGUGGGGAAUAUUGGACAAUGGGCGCAAGCCUGAUCCAGCCAUACCGCGUGGGUGAAGAAGGCCUUCGGGUUGUAAAGCCCUUUUGUUGGGAAAGAAAAGCAGCAGGUUAAUACCCCGCUGUUCUGACGGUACCCAAAGAAUAAGCACCGGCUAACUUCGUG
Molecule: ribosomal RNA, 492 nt
Filed under: uncultured bacterium
Lineage: Bacteria
Description: partial 16S ribosomal RNA
Rfam family: Bacterial small subunit ribosomal RNA
Source: RNAcentral